GGAGAAUUGGCUCAAUUGGUAGAGCAACCGUUUUACACACGGUAGGUUGAGUGUUCAAAUCACUCAUUCUUCA
This 73-nucleotide transfer RNA is filed under the name Arthothelium ruanum. RNAcentral's name for it is "tRNA-Val". It matches the Rfam family "tRNA". Rfam says of the family: Transfer RNA (tRNA) molecules are approximately 80 nucleotides in length. Their secondary structure includes four short double-helical elements and three loops (D, anti-codon, and T loops). Further hydrogen bonds mediate the characteristic L-shaped molecular structure. tRNAs have two regions of fundamental functional importance: the anti-codon, which is responsible for specific mRNA codon recognition, and the 3' end, to which the tRNAs corresponding amino acid is attached (by aminoacyl-tRNA synthetases). tRNAs cope with the degeneracy of the genetic code in two manners: having more than one tRNA (with a specific anti-codon) for a particular amino acid; and 'wobble' base-pairing, i.e. permitting non-standard base-pairing at the 3rd anti-codon position. The record is from RNAcentral. Lineage: Eukaryota; Fungi; Ascomycota; Arthoniomycetes; Arthoniales; Arthoniaceae.